UUGGCAUGAUUGAAUGAGAUGGAUUUUAUAGUACUUGGAAUAACACCAAGUUACUACGAGACAAAUAAUAAUUUGUCUAAACGAAAGGAAACGAAAAAAAAAUAUAAGAAACGAACAAAAAUAAAUAUAUAAGAACUUGGGCCGACCCAAGUAAAUAUAAAUUAAAGUACCAAUGUCCUUAACAAUUUUAAAAGAGUGUUGGGCCAUCAAACUCUCUUAUUUUUUUUCCCAACUUGAGCCCAACUCCACAAAUAAUAUGUUGGGCCCUAUUUAUUCCUAAAAUUUUGUACAAGCCCAAAAUCUUUCCUCUCCUUCCCUAACGCCAUGGAGACUCCUAAUCUUCCAUCUCCCACCCUUCCAUCUUCCAAUCUUCAAUUCUACAAUCAAAGGUCACAAGUUAAAUAUCAGUUUCUUCACUUCCACAUACAUUUUUACAUCUACAAAUUUCAAGCAAAUCCAGAGAGAGAGAGAGAGCCGACGAGAGAGUGAGAAGCUGAAGAAAAAAACUGCUGUUUUUUUUCAAUUGCACACAAAACAAGCCAAGCCAAGGAGCUCAUCCCUUUCGAUCCCACCAAGUUCAUAGCAACGAAGGUGGUUCGCACGCUCGUUAAAGUCGGAUCAAGAAGUUUGUUAAGGAAACUACUAAGCUUUCGAGGGUCUAAGCCCUACUUAGGCUAGUGCACUGAUGGGGAUCGUGAGUAGUCCUUUGGGUCGGCAAGUCCAGUGAUCGAGUUUGUGGCCACAUUCUCGUUUCGCAUGAUGGUUCAGAUAUGGUUGGCGUGGAUGGGGGACGGAGGAUGUUGAGCAUUUGGACGAAGACAGUAUUCAAUAAAUAUUCUGGUUGCUAUUGUGUCUUCAUACAUAGUAGUAGCUAACUCUCGAUUGCUUCCGCUAUGUCAAGUUUUAGAACUCUUAUGUUUUCUUUAUUCUGUUGGACUAGUUUCCUAUGAACUUUAUGCUUCGUGAUUUCAGACUAUAUUUUGGUAAUAAUGUUGUAUCUUUUGGUCUA
Long non-coding RNA from Salvia splendens (bonfire salvia), 1009 nucleotides. RefSeq lists it as uncharacterized. NCBI's taxonomy places the organism in Eukaryota, Viridiplantae, Streptophyta, Magnoliopsida, Lamiales, Lamiaceae. The transcript is spliced from 4 exons. The record is from RefSeq and is a predicted model, not a curated record.